CCAAUAGCGUAUAUUAAAGUUGUUGCAGUUAAAAAGCUCGUAGUUGAAUUUCGGGAUCAGUAGGUCGGUCGUGCCACAGGUAUGCACUGGUCUCACUGGUUCCUCCUUCCUGAUGAACCGUAAUGCCAUUAACUUGGUGUUGCGGGGAGACUGGACUGUUACUUUGAAAAAAUUAGAGUGUUUAAAGCAGGCUUACGCUUGAAUACAUUAGCAUGGAAUAAUGAAAUAGGACGUUCGAUCCUAUUUUGUUGGUUUCUAGGAUUGACGUAAUGAUUAAUAGGGACAGUUGGGGGCAUUAGUAUUCAAUUGUCAGAGGUGAAAUUCUUGGAUUUAUUGAAGACUAACUACUGCGAAAGCAUUUGCCAAGGAUGUUUUCAUUAAUCAAGAACGAAAGUUAGGGGAUCGAAGACGAUCAGAUACCGUCGUAGUCUUAACCAUAAACUAUGCUGACUAGGGAUCGGAUGAUGUUAAUUUUUUAAUGACUCAUUCGGCGCCUUACG
This 500-nucleotide ribosomal RNA is filed under the name uncultured Glomeromycotina. Its description in RNAcentral is "partial small subunit ribosomal RNA". It matches the Rfam family "Eukaryotic small subunit ribosomal RNA", at positions 591 to 1092 of the family's 1831-position model. The record is from RNAcentral. Lineage: Eukaryota; Fungi; Glomeromycota.